Rosa rugosa (rugosa rose) is the source of this 3241-nucleotide long non-coding RNA. RefSeq lists it as uncharacterized. The transcript is spliced from 8 exons. The record is from RefSeq and is a predicted model, not a curated record. Lineage: Eukaryota; Viridiplantae; Streptophyta; Magnoliopsida; Rosales; Rosaceae.
UACACUUAACACAGCUCAUGACUCUCUCGACCUUAGACCUACAAACCCAUCUCUUUCGAGCGAAUGACUUCAAUUUCUUAGGCGCCUCUUCCUUUCCCUUCCUCACCUUCACCCUCUUCUCCCUCGUUGUCACCGUCCUGAACAGCCUGAGCCUUCUUCUGGUUUUGGUUUUUCUCCACCUCCCGUUCUAUCUCUCUCUCCCGCGGCUCACAUUCCACCAUCAAAGCUUCCGUUAGUCCUCUUCAGCUUCGUCAUCGGCACUUGCAGCUCGUUGGUUAUCGAUGCCGAACAACCUAUAAACCAGUCGACCCUUUUUGCUAUGAUCCCUGCACAUCCAGCUUUGGAGAGGCGCAGUACAAAUCAGAGUGCGGCACAAAACACUUCAGGUUUGGACACUGCUUGACUCAAGGCGGCCAGUUACUUUGUUGCUGUAGUCCUUAAAAGCUAGCCAGGCUUGGAGACAGAAGAUUAAAAUGAUCGAUUGUUAGUAAAUGAGUUUACUAUGCCACACCAUAGCAUGCCCUAUCAACCAGGUGAACUUGAUUUUCGGUUUCCAAUUGGAGCCCCCAUACAUGGGAUUCUUGCGUUUUUAUCUACAAAUCAGAUCAAGACUUAUGAUAAAGCAAGAAAUGCAUUGGCUCUUGCAUUGAGUCCUGUCGUCAGGGCUCUGGUUGAUCCAGAUGGAGCAUUGAGUGAUGUGCGGAAUUUGGAUAGCAUAAGCUUCUCAGAUUGGUUCAUGUCCAAGGGUGGCACACGCACGAGUAUCCAGAGAAUAAUACAGUGGAUGAUCAGGACACAUGGUUUUCUAAUAAGGAAGCCACGCUGUUGAAAUCACAGAAAUUCACCCCUGAAUUUGAUUUCCCAAACCUUAUAUUUUCCAAACAUUGUAAAUGUUCAUCUCUUCAAGGGAUGCUCAACGGAAUUCAUCAAUCAGAUUGUAUGUCCAAGAUUUUUCGUGUACCGCGGUCAAGCAUCUGUUUUCCUUACUGAAGUAAGUAUUGUUGCCCAAGGCUGGGUGAUUGAAGCAGAGGGUUCGUAUUUGGUGAGUUCCUUCCUAAUUGCUCCGAGCACCUCAUUUUUGUUUGUCAAAUUAUUUAUGUCAAAACCCACAUUUCUAUUCAUCAUAAUCGUUACUGGGUUUUGAAAAUGAUAAACCAAAAGAAGAACAUGAAGGUGUCUCUUUUACAGUUUCAUACCUUUUUUUGGAUUCGUCUAUAUCGCUUGAGGAGGGAUUAGAUUGGAACUUUGGAAGUUUCAGGCUAUGUUUUUGUUUAUUAGUAUUGAAAUUUGGUUUUGACCUAAAUGAAAUUUUAAUGUCUGCUCUCUAAUUGAUAGUCUGGUUGCGUUUUUGUAAAACAUAGAUAUUUUGGCAUCGGUUUUGCUUGCAUUGUGACAUGUAUAUCUGUUUUGCUUCCAACUGAAUUUUUUUUAGCUGACUGAAAUAGUAAAUAUAUGAAUCAUGCGAAUGAAAAUUAUACAAUAAUGAGUGCAAUUUUAUGACUUUCUGUUCCAAGUUAAGUUAAUAAUGAUUGUUAUGGUUUUAGUUUAAUUGUGUAUUGGUUGCACAUCUUAUAUCAUCAUAGAUCUUAUAUGAUCCAAAUGAAAAUUAAGUUACAGUAAGCCGAUGGUUAGGUCUUUUCUUUCGUUCUUUAUUUCUUACUCUUUUCUUUCUAUUGUGUUAUUUUUCCAUAUGUAUUAUAUAAAUAUAAUAUAUGAUCUGUUAGUUAAUUGUUUUAUUUUAGUCUUAUUGUUAUAUUGUUCUCUUUUGAUUGUGGGAAGAUUAGAAGGGCUGGGGGCUGACUAAAUAUGGAGGGGAAGGGGACAGAAGAAAGAAAAAAAGAAAGAAAAAAAAAAGAAAGGAAAAAUAAAGAAGAAGAGAGGAUGGGGACGAAGAAAAAGACGGGAAAGGAAGGGAAGAGAGAGUUGGAGAGUUUGGGUUUUUGUCGAAGGCAACCAUUUGGGUAUCUCUGGAUUUGAGGGGAGAGAAGCUAGAAGGUUUCUGUUGAUUUUCGGAAGCAAAGAUGAAGAAUUGAGAAUAUGAUCUCUUAGUGAAGGGGUUUUGCUUUGAGUUGGGUUGGUUGUUUCCGUUCUGCUCUAUGAUUCGAAAAGCAAACUGUGGAUGGAAGGAGGAGAUUUAGGAGAGGUGUUUCAGCCUUUGUUAUUUUUUUUUCUGCUAUUCAAAGCUUUGAGCCUUUUGGGUUUUCCUUUUUUGGCUGUUCUUGUUUUGGGUCUGCUUAAGAACUGAGGUGAGUGACUGUUCUUUCUUGCGUUAUGUUUUAUUUAUGAUUUUUCCUUGGCUGAUUUCUAUGUUAAAUUGAGAUGUUGGUGUGGAUCAAUGAGUGAUUUCGUACCUAGAAAUAUUACUUCUAUUUAUCUUUUAUCGUUGUUGGUUUUACUUUGGGAUCUUUGACGUCUGGUAAAGCUUUUGAUUUGUAAACUGUGGUUAGGUGGGGUGUUUGAUAUCAUGAGUUUGGAAUUGGUUUGAAUUCUGAUAUCUUUCUUUCUGAGCUUUUGCUUUGUUAUUUUAUGUACUUUGUUCUCUAUUAGGUGUCGAGGACAAUUACUUGAGCUUCAAUUGUGUUUUGGUCUGUUGCUUAUGUUUCAAAAGGAACUCGAUGUUGGUACCAUGUGACCAGAGUAUGGUGCACAAAAGAGGAUAGACAUUGACUCCUACUUAGACUUACUAUUACUCUGAUUUCAUAACAGAUUGGUUUUAUCCAGCCCAGACAUCUCAGAAUGUAUGCAGCAGUUCAUAAUAGUGGCGAACUGGCUUUGUGUAGACCUAGAGACAAAAGCUGGAGUGUCUACCAAGUAUUUGAAGAAAAUGAAAAUCUUGUCGAGAGAGUCAACAGAAUAUUGUUUUCCACCACUGGCGUGCUAUAUGCCUUGGUUACAGGUAACCGCAAUGGUCGUGGUGUUGAUGCAGACCGCACUUUAAAGUUCGGAGAUGAGGCAGUGAAAUUGAAGCUGAUCUAUGACAUAGAGGAGUCGUGGAUUGAUGCAGGGGUUGAUCCGGUAGGGCUUUUGUGCAUGUCAUACUUGUUGGAAUCAACAAACAACGAAAUUUUAUUGAAACAUAAGCAACAUUAGAAGACAUAAUGCUUUGGAACAAUGUGUAUCGGCCUUUGAUGUUCAAGUAGAUAGGGCAUAUAUGUAUUAGAAUGUAAAACGAGAUGUUGAAUGAUUGGGAAAUACUCCAUUUUAACAUUUUUGGCAUAUGGAAUGGAUUGGAUUACUCAUU